UUAGUCAUGUAGCCUAUCUCACCUUCCUCAUACCUUUCUUAGGGAUCUCCUUGUCCCCUCACAGGUGGCACACAGCAGCACCUGUGCCAUUCCUGCGUGGCGAGGAGCAAGGUUACUGCCUAGGUCUCUCCUGCACCAUUGACUAAGCUGCUUUCACACAGACCUUCUCCAAACUGGGUAACAGCCAUGGACCUGCGUGUUUGGGAGGCUCAGCUGAUAGACUUUGUCCUUCGCCUGGAGUCUGCUGUAAGUUAAUUUUUAAUACCAGAAAACUAAAGAGUAAAGGAAGGCCUGGUCUGAGCUUGGGAAGCUAUAUUCUACCCGACACAGCUCUUCUCGAGAUGUAAGAAGCAAUGAUGACCAACAGAAACACGCAGGAAAAGAGAAGAAGGAAAAUUCCUGACUAGACACAGGGCUCCCUGGUUCCUGUCUUUUUGGGACAAGUCUGAACCUGAAGUGCAAGGAGACACCUUCUGGACAGACAGAGCAAAGGAAUGUCUGAGAAGAGAAACUUUGGGGCAAGUGAGAACAGCUGGGGCUGAUCUGGUGGACUUAGACUCUCUUCGCUCCCCUCAUUGCAAGACACGAAGCUUCUGCUUGGGAUGUCACAGGCUGUGACAAUGAGCUCAGGGAAUAUCACACCAAAGUUAUCUAAGCAAGUUGAGGUUUCUUUCAUGCAGAGGCCCAGGGAGGAGGCAGACCCAGCUGGGCAGGGAGGCAGAGCUAGCACGAAUGAUGGGGUGACAGGACCUCUUUCUUAGGACAGAAGGCCAAAUAUUCUAUGCAGUUAAAGGAAUGAAUAUGGGUGUUUGUGGGCAUAUUUAAUGGGGGCAAUAAGGACAGAAAGGAUAUAGCGUAUUUUUUUUUAUAGUUCCUGGUACCAACAGGCUUAUUUCAUAUCAGA
This is a long non-coding RNA of Marmota monax (woodchuck), 904 nucleotides long. RefSeq lists it as uncharacterized. The transcript is spliced from 2 exons. The record is from RefSeq and is a predicted model, not a curated record. NCBI's taxonomy places the organism in Eukaryota, Metazoa, Chordata, Mammalia, Rodentia, Sciuridae.